GAUGAACGCUGGCGGCGUGCCUAAUACAUGCAAGUCGAGCGAACGGACGAGAAGCUUCCUUCUCUGAUGUUAGCGGUGGACGGGUGAGUAACACGUGGAUAACCUACCUAUAAGACUGGGAUAACUUCGGGAAACCGUAGCUAAUACCGGAUAAUAUUUUGAACCGCAUGGUUCAAAAGUGAAAGACGGUCUUGCUGUCACUUAUAGAUGGAUCCGCGCUGCAUUAGCUAGUUGGUAAGGUAACGGCUUACCAAGGCAACGAUGCAUAGCCGACCUGAGAGGGUGAUCGGCCACACUGGAACUGAGACACGGUCCAGACUCCUACGGGAGGCAGCAGUAGGGAAUCUUCCGCAAUGGGCGAAAGCCUGACGGAGCAACGCCGCGUGAGUGAUGAAGGUCUUCGGAUCGUAAAACUCUGUUAUUAGGGAAGAACAUAUGUGUAAGUAACUGUGCACAUCUUGACGGUACCUAAUCAGAAAGCCACGGCUAACUACGUG
This 497-nucleotide ribosomal RNA is filed under the name uncultured bacterium. RNAcentral's name for it is "partial 16S ribosomal RNA". It matches the Rfam family "Bacterial small subunit ribosomal RNA", at positions 28 to 507 of the family's 1533-position model. The record is from RNAcentral.